RNAcentral lists this unclassified non-coding RNA (314 nucleotides) under Hevea brasiliensis (rubber tree). The record is from RNAcentral. Lineage: Eukaryota; Viridiplantae; Streptophyta; Magnoliopsida; Malpighiales; Euphorbiaceae.
GAAAAACCUGAAGCAUUUCUUGAAUAGUCUUUGCUGACUCAAAAGCCUCUUCAAGUUGUGAUCUUUCUCUAAUCUUUCUCUGUCUUGAAGACAACUGAGAUGGGUUUUGCUCCACAAGUGUGUUGAAACUUUGGGAUUGCUGUAUUUUGAAAUUGGAUAAAUGUAAAAAUUGAGUCUUGCUGCAAGAUUUGAGAUGGGUGUUUGAUAAUUGAGGGGAAAUUUGUUGAUUUCCAUUGAUGGGGUUGGUGCUGGUGGUAGGGAGAGAAGAAAAGUGGGAGAUUAAGUCUUUAGAAAUGAGAGAGAAUGAAGUUUUG